This 2507-nucleotide long non-coding RNA is filed under the name Homo sapiens (human). Its description in RNAcentral is "HSALNT0116241". Lineage: Eukaryota; Metazoa; Chordata; Mammalia; Primates; Hominidae. The record is from RNAcentral.
GUAGACAGCUCAUUUUGAUCUGCAAUGUACACGCAAAAGGAAACUUCUGGAGAUGAUGGAUGUGUCUGUCUCCUUGUUGUGGUGAUGGUAACAUAAAUUAAUGUUCUAUCACACCUUAAAGAAUGGGGCCUCACUUCUCUCAAACCUUCCCUUCCACAUGCCCUGGGUGAGGAGACAUGGAAUCAGUGACUCAAAGGACAAGUGGCACCAUUGCCACUAUCACUCAGGAGGUGAAUUGAUGCAAAAAUAAGACAGAUCAGAAGCAGGUGAUACGCUGCUAUUCAUAAACCCGUUCAUCCGAAAAUUGAAUGCCUCUCUCCAGACGUCACCCCUAAUGGGUAGCUGUACCUGGGCAUGCUCACCCAGCUUUUGGAUGAAACUCUUCCUCCGAGGGUGACAGGGAGUGGAGAAAUGAUGCUGGCCACGGGACAGGCAUGGAGAGCCUGCCCUUCCAACUUGCUUCUGUGAGUGCUCGUCUGGGGAUCCCUGCAGCACCUCCGACUCACCACGUCCAGGACUCAAUGCACCACCUGCGUCUCCUGUGUUCUCCAGUGCUGAAAACGGCAUCACCAUCCUAACACCCAAGCUUCUCAGUCAUUUUUGAAUCAUCUUCUUCUCUGCAGCCCAUACUUAAUGAACUCUUCAGUCUUGCUGAUUUUAAGGUGCCAACUUCUCAGGCUUUUUCCUCCUCUCCAUUAUCCUGGUGCAAACCCUUGAGAAUGGCCCUUGAGCCCCUGACCUAAGCCCUAGAAAUAGUGCCAUGAGCAAACAUCUACACUCGUUUCUUUCAAAAGACCUUUGCUAAGCCAUGGCUAACAUUUUCAUUUCCGUCAUACCUGGACUGCUGUCGCUGGUCUCUACAACCAAGAGCGCUCUGCACACACUGUUGUUCUGACUCUCUCAAUCACUCCAAAUAUAUAAAAGACUCACUUCCACCCAGACACAUCCCCCCCAUUUGAUACAGUUUGGACCUAUUUCCCUGCCCAAAUAUCACGUCGAAUUGUGGUCCCCAGUGUUGGAGGUGGGGCCUGGUGGGAGGUGAUUGGAUCAUGGCUGCGGAUUUCCCCCUCAGUACUGUCCUCACGAUAGUGUAUGAGUUCAUCUGAGAUCUGGUCAUUUAAUAGUGCGUAGUAUCUGCUCCCUAAUCUCGCUCCUGCUCCAACCAUGUAAGACGGGCCUGCUUCUCCUUCGCCUUUUGCCACGAUUGUAAGUUUCCUGAGGCAGAAGCCCAGGAGCAGAAGCCGCUAUGCUUCCUGUACAGCCUGCAGAACCAUGAGCUCAUCAAACCUUGUUUCUUUAUAAAUUACACAGUCUCAGGUAUUUCCUUACAACUGUGUGAGAAUGCACUAAUACACCCCUCAGGAAGUUUCCCUGUCCUCUAGAAGUGUAACUAUAUCUCAGCUUGGGAGGGCAAGCAGGGAUUAAGGUCCUAUAGGCCCCAAAUGCCCAUAGGCAUGAAUAGCUUUUCUUCCAGCAUUGGAAUAGAUGCAGCAGCUGAAGUGGCUCGCUUCUGUUAGGGCGUGGUUGCACUGGAGGGCCAUGACGUAAUUACUACACUUCAGAGGCAGGUGAAGAGCUGAAACUGACAGAGGAAUGCAGGAUUCUUAUGUUUGAUCUCAUGGUCUCUCCAGAGUGUGGACCCAAGAGUAGCGUGGAAGGUGGAGUGGACAGAAGGGGGCCUGGCCUGCUCUCUGGGCCUGGUUGGAUUUGAAUAAAUUACAGUAGAUGCAUGCUGACUUCACAUUGCAAUCGCAGCCUCGUCCUGCUUGUUUUUAUUUUCAACUCAAGUCCGUCAAUCAGUUUUCAUCCUUCAGGUUUGGCCCUGUUGUUUCCUCACUCAUGUAUAAUCUUUCACACAAACUAUCUCUUAGGGUAGGGGCGUGGGGGAACUAUAGACUAAUUCCCUUCAUUCAUUUUGUAUGCAUCCACUGCAGUAAAAAUCAAUUUAGAAUCCAUCACUCUUAGGAUGCUUUUCUGAUUAAGUAAGAAACAUUUACCAUCCACACAGCAUAUCAAGCUUUACCACUGGACAAUUUUAAUGCAGAUUAAAGCAUAAAGUAGCUCUCUGCUUUUUCCAAGAUCCAGACUGGUCCCCUAGAAAGCCUUCCCCGAUGCCCCCAGAUAAAGCGAGUCAUCCCCUCUACUCAGUCCCACCCCACAGAAUCCAGCCCAGUAUAAUAAGGUCACAGCCUACAUCGCCUUUAUUCAUGUGUCUCUGGAACUCAGCAUGCAGUAGGUAUUCAUUAAGUAUUGAUUUUAUGAGAUUCAAGGUUUCUAUUUGUAUAUAAGAGAUUUAGUUGGCUAACUAACAGUUUCAAUGGUUGAUUACAAUCCUAAAUGAUCCAUGUCACUGGGAAAUCAUAGACACAUCUUUAAAGAAGCUUCCUCUUUUAUUUCCAGCUUUGUUGAGAUAUAAUUGACAAAUAAAAAUUGUAUAUACUUAAGUUGUACACAUGAUGUUUUGAUAUAUGAAUACAUUGUGAAAUGAUUAUCAUAAUCAAGCUAAU